This is a long non-coding RNA of Lactuca sativa (garden lettuce), 1539 nucleotides long. RefSeq lists it as uncharacterized. Lineage: Eukaryota; Viridiplantae; Streptophyta; Magnoliopsida; Asterales; Asteraceae. The record is from RefSeq and is a predicted model, not a curated record.
AAUUUUGGAAAUAUUUUUAUAAAUAGCCGUUGGAAGUCGAAAGGGUUGCGUCGGUGUAUAUCGGCGAUAUAGAUAGAUGCGGUCUUCAGUCGUUUCGUUCUUCUCUCGAUCUGGAAGACUAUAGCCAUAUCCGCAAUCCAAGAAAUUAUCAACAUCUCUAUUAUAAAAGAUAAAAGAAGGAGAUCGCCUUGUGUCUUCUAUGCAGGCUGUUGAAUUGCUCCUUUGUUGUCUGCAAUUACAGUGAUUUAACAAGAAUUCAAACAUCAGGGACAACUGUUGGUGCACCAAAUACAACCACUUUAGGGCAUAUUGGAUGAAAUGUAUUUGGACUGAAAAGGAUGUGAUACAGGAUCUUGUGUUGGCCAUAACUCAGUCUUACCCAUUGUUGUGAUUACAUGAUUUUGUUUGGUAAAAAACUAUAGUGAAUAAGAAUAUGUUCAUUUGGCCAUAUAGCAGUAUAGUUUCAUUUCAUUAUCUAUUUUUUUUUUUUUUUUUUUAAUUUGAUCCUGAUUUUUAGAUUUCAUAUUGAUUUUGAUCACAAGAACCCAGAAAUAAGAACAAAAUUGGUAUAUAACCUUAAAAUAAGGAUCAAAAUUCGAAACGAUGAGCAUUGAAAAAUAUCAAUUUAGAACUAAACACGGUUAAAACUAUAAAAAAACUAGGGCCAUUUUUGUACUUCAAUAUUUUUUCUAUUUUUAUUUUUUAUGUUAAUGUAUUAUUAUUAUAUUAUUUUACUUUAAAAUUUUAAAUAAAACAAUGUUUAUUCCAUCAUUGAUUGUCUAUGUUUUUUUUUCAAUUUAUAUGAUUAUAUCUCCUUAUACAACAUAAUUAUUUUAUAAUUAAUCUAGACAUAAAGAAUGUUGCAUAUAUCUUUUAAACACAUUGCAAAUGUAUUAUAAACUAGUUUCAUAAUAUAAGAUGUUAUAGGUGUUAUAAUGGACGACACAAUGUGAGCAUCAGAUAGGCCUAAAUUAAAUAAAUGAAUUAUGUUAGACUUUAAAAAUUAACGACAUGUAGGAUUCGAUAUAAUUUUAUCUUUUGAAAUCUACCGUAAAGUUGUAAUGAGAAUCUAACAAAAGUAGUGACAUGUUGAGUACAAUUAAAGAAAGAUAUAUAUGAUGCCAAAAUGUGUGGUGUAAAAAUUUCAAAAUGUCUAGAGUGUACGAUAUCAGGAAUGUACAUUUUGAAAUUCUUUUAUGUCAAAAAUUUAAUGAUAUUUUAUUUAUAAAAGAGAUUAAUUUUGGUAAUGGGGUUGUUUGUAAGGGCAACACUUUUUUGCUACAAAAUGAGUUGAAAAAGGAUGUAAUUGCCAAAAAAGAAGAAAUUAUGGAGCACACUUCCAAUCCUCGCGCACUAGAUAAAUGAAUGUAUGGCAGGAGGAUGCAAUAAUGAUUGAAGUGAAGGCGAUAAAUGGGUUAAAAAAGAGAGAAUAAAAAUCAUGUUAGACAUUCUACAUAACACCACGCUAUAUAUUAGCUUUACUUUUUAGGUGAAUGAUGGUAAUUAACAUCAUAUAAUUAUUAAUUACUUUAUUUUUUA